AUGUGGUGUCUGACAACCGUGAUUACUUCCACUUGCCUGCGGUGGCGUGCGGUACGGCAUUGCCCCGGCGUUGGUCCGGACGAACGCGUUCGAUGUUCAGUGGUCUGGGCGUAGUGCGGCUGCGUGAAUCCGCGCUGGCGGNUGUGGUUUCGGCGUUAGAGGUGGCAUGACGUGUCAAUGAUCAUGGUGAUAUCAGUCGAACCAAUGUGGGUCGUUUGCGGCUUCGCGGGCGGUCCGAUGGACGGCAGGGCUGGUUUGCUUCGGUGAUCCUGGGGCGAGUUGGCCAAAUUGAUGUCGUCUGGCUGUCGCUGCCGCCAGCACCAAAUGCGGGGCUCCUUUACGUGGCCGGUCGGCCUGGCAUGCAUCCCCUUCGCCUGUUGCACACAUUUGCANUGCGGGUGGGCUGAGAGGCUUUUCUCGGUCCGGGCAGUUGAUUUGCCUGAAGGGGUCUGUAGGCUACACGGGUCCGAGUGCGGUAUGACUGGUCGACUUAGGGGCUCCGAACGUCGAACUGAUGUGGGCAAAUGGAGACUCGCC
RNAcentral lists this ribosomal RNA (537 nucleotides) under Chimaericola leptogaster. RNAcentral describes it as "bacterial LSU rRNA". The record is from RNAcentral. Lineage: Eukaryota; Metazoa; Platyhelminthes; Monogenea; Chimaericolidea; Chimaericolidae.